RNAcentral lists this ribosomal RNA (1053 nucleotides) under Hirsutella fusiformis. Its description in RNAcentral is "SSU rRNA". It matches the Rfam family "Eukaryotic small subunit ribosomal RNA", at positions 57 to 1123 of the family's 1831-position model. Lineage: Eukaryota; Fungi; Ascomycota; Sordariomycetes; Hypocreales; Ophiocordycipitaceae. The record is from RNAcentral.
GUCUAGUAUAAGCAAUUAUACGGCGAAACUGCGAAUGGCUCAUUAUAUAAGUUAUCGUUUAUUUGAUAGCACCUUACUACUUGGAUAACCGUGGUAAUUCUAGAGCUAAUACAUGCUGAAAACCCCGACUUCGGAAGGGGUGUAUUUAUUAGAUUAAAAACCAAUGCCCUCUGGGCUCUCUGGUGAUUCAUGAUAACUUCUCGAAUCGCACGGCCUUGCGCCGGCGAUGGUUCAUUCAAAUUUCUUCCCUAUCAACUUUCGAUGUUUGGGUAGUGGCCAAACAUGGUUGCAACGGGUAACGGAGGGUUAGGGCUCGACCCCGGAGAAGGAGCCUGAGAAACGGCUACUACAUCCAAGGAAGGCAGCAGGCGCGCAAAUUACCCAAUCCCGACUCGGGGAGGUAGUGACAAUAAAUACUGAUACAGGGCUCUUUUGGGUCUUGUAAUUGGAAUGAGUACAAUUUAAAUCCCUUAACGAGGAACAAUUGGAGGGCAAGUCUGGUGCCAGCAGCCGCGGUAAUUCCAGCUCCAAUAGCGUAUAUUAAAGUUGUUGUGGUUAAAAAGCUCGUAGUUGAACCUUGGGCCUGGCUGGCCGGUCCGCCUCACCGCGUGCACUGGUCCGGCCGGGCCUUUCCCUCCGUGGAACCCCAUGCCCUUCACUGGGCGUGGCGGGGAAACGGGACUUUUACUUUGAAAAAAUUAGAGUGCUCCAGGCAGGCCUAUGCUCGAAUACAUUAGCAUGGAAUAAUGAAAUAGGACGUGCGGUUCUAUUUUGUUGGUUUCUAGGACCGCCGUAAUGAUUAAUAGGGACAGUCGGGGGCAUCAGUAUUCAAUUGUCAGAGGUGAAAUUCUUGGAUCAAUUGAAGACUAACUACUGCGAAAGCAUUUGCCAAGGAUGUUUUCAUUAAUCAGGAACGAAAGUUAGGGGAUCGAAGACGAUCAGAUACCGUCGUAGUCUUAACCAUAAACUAUGCCGACUAGGGAUCGGACGAUGUUAUUAUUUGACUCGUUCGGCACCUUACGAGAAAUCAAAGUGCUUGGGCUCCAGGGGGAG